This 2675-nucleotide long non-coding RNA is filed under the name Sitophilus oryzae (rice weevil). RNAcentral's name for it is "uncharacterized LOC115874726". Lineage: Eukaryota; Metazoa; Arthropoda; Insecta; Coleoptera; Curculionidae. The record is from RNAcentral.
UGUCAACCGGCUGAUGCCCGAAAAUAAAAAAUUGUUUAUAUGUUUUUGCUGCGAUAUAAAUUAUCGAUCGGCCGGGCAGCGGGCGAUGAGUAUUUGUGUAGAUAAGUUAGUUAGUAUGUAUUUGACGUUGUUUGGAAUAUUAUUGUUUGUUAAUAAAUGUAUUGUUAUUGCUUAUUUCGUGAGUGUAUAAUUUAUUAUUGUGAACCUGGACUAGCACAAAUUGGCGACGAGAUAUAAAGAGACCUAAUACUACCAAAUAAGGGAGUGGAUUAAAUUCUACUAAAAUAGGAGUGGAUUAAAUUCUACUAAACAGGAGUGGAUUCAAUUCUACUACAAGAGUGGAUUAAAUUCUACUAAAGGAGUGGAUUAAAUUCUACUAGAGGAGUGGAUUAGAUUCUACUAAAGGAGUGGAUUAAAUUCUACUGAAGGAAAGCUGAUUAUUGAGACUAAUAAGCACUAUAUCCUCGGAAAAAAAAAGUGCAAUGGAUCAGUCGUCUAUUAAACAUUUCGCUUGUGAGUCUAUAGACAAAGCUCUAAUAGCUCUUGAAUGGAGAAAAUGGAUUCGUUCAGUAAAGUUAUAUUUAGAUGCAGAAGAAAUUACAGAUGUUGUAAAAAGGAAAAAUAAAUUAUUACAUCUUGGAGGUCCGCAAUUGCAGGAAAUUGCCUUUGGCUUGCCAGGCGCGGUUACGGAAUAUGACCCCACUAUUAAAAAUGAUGUAUUUAAAGCAUUGGUAGAUAGACUUAAUGACCAUUUUUCGCCUCAACAAAACCCUUGCUUUGAGAGACACGUAUUUCGCAACAUGAAACCCGCGGAUGGAGAAAAUUUAAAUAGAUUCCUUAUAAGAUGUAGAACACAGGCCGAUAAAUGUUAUUUUGGCAACAGUGAACAAGAAGCUCGAGAAAUCAGCAUUAAAGACAAGUUAAUUGAUAUGUGGGCACCGAUAGAUUUAAAACAGAAACUUCUGGAAAAGGAAUCAUCAUUAAAUGAUAUUAUAGAACAAUGUCAAAUAUAUGAACAGACACGAAACCAAAGUGCCAUCAUGCACAAGAAAGACAUUUUGUAACAAACUCCACUAGCGAGGCUCAAGUUAAUCGAAUUGAAGAUUCACGGAAACGCAAACACUGGGAAAUUACAAAAAGUCAUGAGUGCACACGCUGCGGUGGAAUCCACAGCUUAGAUAAGAAAAAUUGCCCUGCCAUUAAUACUACAUGUCAUCAAUGUGGUCGUUUAGGACAUUUUGCUAGAAGAUGUAGGACAGAAAAACUUAAACGUACAUUCGGUCAAAACACUAGCCGCCACCCCAAUCCGCCGAAGACAAGAAGAAUUAAUUGCAUCAACGAAUCCAAUGACGAAAGUCUCCCUUCUACUAGUGGUAUCGGCAACUAUGAAUGUUUCGAAGUUACGAGUUCAAACCCUACUUGGAUUGGACAGCAGCAAUGGAAUAAUCUCGGUGAUAAUUGGAGGUGUCAGCAUUGAUAUCUUAAUUGAUUCCGGAGCCUCGUGCAACAUUAUAAAUGGACGUGAUUGGGAAAAACUACUCGGAAAUGGAGCUGCAAUACUUGACAUCCAAGAAGAUGUAACUAAUUCGAUAAAAGCGUAUGCUGCAAAUACUCCGCUUUUUGUAAAAUGCCAAUUCAAAGCCCCAAUACGCGUGGGCAAUAGUCGUGAGCGUAUUGAAACAUUUGUGGUGGUAGAAUCCGGUACAACCUCACUGCUGGGAAGACGCACAUCGAUAACCUUAGGAGUUUUAAAGUUGGGACUAGACUCCAAUAUUAAUCAUAUUGAAAAAAUUGAGCCUUUUCCGAAAGUUGCUAAUAUUAAAAUAAAACUCACCAUCAAUCCAAAUAUAAAGCCAAUACAACAACCAGUGCGUAGAAUUCCAAUUGCCGUUGAAGAAAAAGUGGAACAGAAGCUGAAUGAAGCACUUGCCAGAGAUAUCAUAGCCCGUACAAGGACCAAGCCCUUGGAUUUCUCCCAUGGUCAUAGUCUUUAAACCAGAUGAUGAUAUUCGUAUUUGCAUCGACAUGAGGAGAGCCAAUGAAGCUAUACUUAGAGAGAAUUUUCCUCUUCCCACUUUUGAGAGCUUCAUGACUAAACUGAGUGGGGCCACUUACUUUUCGCGCUUGGAUCUAGCUAGUGCAUAUCAUCAACUAGAAUUGGAAGAAGACAGUCGAUCAAUUACUACUUUUAUAACACAUAAAGGAUUAUUUAGGUACAAACGGCUAAUGUUUGGCAUAAAUUCCGCUCCAGAAAUAUUUCAGCGUAUAUUUCAAGGUAUUUUGGCUCCUUGUCAGAAUUAUCUCAACUACCUCGAUGACAUAGUUGUUUAUGGAGAAACUGAAGCUGAUCAUGACCGAUAUUUGAAUAACUUACUGACGGUACUACAAAAUUAUAACAUCUUGUUAAACGAAAAAAAGUGCCACUAUAAGGUUAAACAAUUGGAAUUUUUAGGACAUAUUCUAACAUCUUCCGGAAUAUUACCGGACCCAAAGAAGAUUAAAGUUAUUCGUGACUUUCGUGCACCGUUAAAUAAAGGAGAAGUAAGGAGUUUUCUUGGCAUGGUUACAUACUUGGGAAAAUUUAUACCUAAUCUGGGAACCCUGACCGAACCACUAAGACUAUUAAUAAGAAAUGAAACAAAAUUCAAUUGGGGACAAAUAGAACAAGAAAGUUU